This 301-nucleotide ribosomal RNA is filed under the name uncultured bacterium. Its description in RNAcentral is "partial 16S ribosomal RNA". It matches the Rfam family "Bacterial small subunit ribosomal RNA", at positions 509 to 808 of the family's 1533-position model. The record is from RNAcentral.
CAGCCGCCGCGGGAAUACGAAGGGUGCAAGCGUUACUCGGAAUUACUGGGCGUAAAGCGUGCGUAGGUGGUGGUUUAAGUCCGUUGUGAAAGCCCUGGGCUCAACCUGGGAAUUGCAGUGGAUACUGGGUCACUAGAGUGUGGUAGAGGAUAGUGGAAUUUCCGGUGUAGCAGUGAAAUGCGUAGAGAUCGGAAGGAACAUCUGUGGCGAAGGCGACUAUCUGGCCAACACUGACACUGAGGCACGAAAGCGUGGGGAGCAAACAGGAUUAGAUACCCCCGUAGUCCCUGUCUCUUAUACC